GAUGAACGCUGGCGGCGUGCUUAACACAUGCAAGUCGAACGAAGCACUUUAUUUGAUUUCCUUCGGGACUGAUUAUUUUGUGACUGAGUGGCGGACGGGUGAGUAACUCGUGGGUAACCUGCCUUGUACAGGGGGAUAACAGUUGGAAACGGCUGCUAAUACCGCAUAAGCGCACAGCAUCGCAUGAUGCAGUGUGAAAAACUCCGGUGGUAUAAGAUGGACCCGCGUUGGAUUAGCUAGUUGGUGAGGUAACGGCCCACCAAGGCGACGAUCCAUAGCCGACCUGGGAGGGUGACCGGCCACAUUGGGACUGGGACACGGCCCAAGGUCCUACGGGAGGCAGCAGUGGGGAAUAUUGCACAAUGGGCGAGAGACUGAUGCAGCGACGCCGCGUGAGCGAAGAAGUAGUUAGGGAUGUAAAGCUCUAUCAGCAGGGAAGAUAAUGACGGUACCUGACUAAGAAGCACCGGCUAAAUACGUG
This 481-nucleotide ribosomal RNA is filed under the name uncultured bacterium. RNAcentral's name for it is "partial 16S ribosomal RNA". It matches the Rfam family "Bacterial small subunit ribosomal RNA", at positions 28 to 507 of the family's 1533-position model. The record is from RNAcentral.